RNAcentral lists this ribosomal RNA (252 nucleotides) under uncultured prokaryote. RNAcentral describes it as "partial 16S ribosomal RNA". It matches the Rfam family "Bacterial small subunit ribosomal RNA", at positions 524 to 775 of the family's 1533-position model. The record is from RNAcentral.
UACGUAGGGGGCAAGCGUUGUCCGGAAUUAUUGGGCGUAAAGGGCGCGUAGGUGGUUCUGUAUGUCUACCGUGAAAGCAUACAGCUCAACUGUAUUUUGUCGGUAGAAACUGCAGGACUUGAGGCUGGGAGGGGCUGGUGGAAUUCCCUGUGUAGCGGUGAAAUGCGUAGAGAUGGGGGAGAACACUCGUGGCGAAGGCGGCCAGCUAGACCAGUUCUGACACUGAGGCGCGACAGCGUGGGGAGCAAACAG